GGAAAAGUCUCCGAAUUGGACCGAGGUUUUGGCUAGCCCCCCAUUGUCAGACGUCCCGAGCGCGUUCCCGAAGUCGGAAUCGGCAAAGGUGAGCCGGGACAACCUUCUUCCUCCGCCCAGCCGCCACAGUGAUUGUCGUCAAGUCUGCCGCAGGAGGAUAUUUUAUUCUGGGUUAACCUGCUUUUAUACUUCGCAGGUUGUUUAUCGAUAUUUGUGUAAUUUUAUUUACUCCUAGAAUUUCCGCAUGUGUUAGCAGUAAUUAUUUGAAUUUGGUCUGUAAUAUUAUAUUCAUGUUGGACCUGUAAACUUAAUAUUUUAAGUCUGUUUUGAUGGAUUGGAUGAGGGAGCUGAGCUCCCAUUUAUUAUUAUGUUGAUGAGUAUGUGGAGGGUGAGCUGAGCUCCCCAAUGGAUUGUUUAUUGUGUUUACAGGUCGGGUGAGUCGAAAACUCCCCGUUGGAAAGUCCAUUUUAUGGCCGGACUCUGUCCGUUUGUUUUCUUGAAUUUGGGCCCAAUGGGCCUUAGAGUUGGGUUAAUGAACAGUUAGGCUUACUACGGGCCUCGGGGGCUUUAGGCUGGCCCAGGUCCUAGUGCCGGUCCGGCCCAUAGGUUGGGUCGUGACAAAUGUGGUAUCAGAGCUUAGGCUCCAGAUUCUUAGGGAAUGUUGUCUAAAGUGUUGGGAAGAGUCUACUAGGAGUCACAUGCGGAAAUAUAGGGUCCACAUUCGUCUUGCAUUGUCAUCUUUGCUUCUAGUUUCUGCUCCAUAUGUUAUGUAUAAAUAUGAGUCUAUAGAGCUGUGUAAUGAGCAGUUUUGAAUUUUGUGGGCUAAUGUUGCUGAAUUUCAGGAAAAUGCGUAGAAGCAGGAGAGCUGCCACUGCACCAGAACCAGAUGUGCCUGACGAGGUGUCAGCACAGGAUGAGGCGCCUGCCCCGAGGAGGCGGGGUAGGAGGCCUAGAGCUGCUCAAGUAGAAGAGCAGCU
This is a long non-coding RNA of Hevea brasiliensis (rubber tree), 977 nucleotides long. RefSeq lists it as uncharacterized. The transcript has 3 exons. The record is from RefSeq and is a predicted model, not a curated record. NCBI's taxonomy places the organism in Eukaryota, Viridiplantae, Streptophyta, Magnoliopsida, Malpighiales, Euphorbiaceae.